AAUUUCCGCCAUACCACCCUGAACGCGCCCGAUCUCGUCUGAUCUUGGAAGCUAAGCAGGGUUGGGCCUGGUUAGUACUUGGAUGGGAGUUUGUUUUCUUAAUUAUGGUUUCAGAUGAUG
This 120-nucleotide ribosomal RNA is filed under the name Carlito syrichta (Philippine tarsier). The record is from RNAcentral. Lineage: Eukaryota; Metazoa; Chordata; Mammalia; Primates; Tarsiidae.